RNAcentral lists this long non-coding RNA (1064 nucleotides) under Homo sapiens (human). Its description in RNAcentral is "HSALNT0333561". Lineage: Eukaryota; Metazoa; Chordata; Mammalia; Primates; Hominidae. The record is from RNAcentral.
CUGUCUGGGAGGUGAGGAGUGUCUCUGCCCGGCCGCUCCGUCUGAGAAGUGAGGAAACCCUCUGCCUGGCAACCGCCCCGUCUGAGAAGUGAGGAGCCCCUCCGUCUGGCAACCACCCCGUCUGGGAAGUGAGGAGCGUCUCCGCCCGGCAGCCACCCCGUCCGGGAGGGAGGUGGGGGGGGUCAGCCCCCCGCCCGGCCAGCCGCCCCGUCCGGGAGGUGAGGGGCGCCUCUGCCCGGCCGCCCCUACUGGGAAGUGAGGACCCCUCUGCCCGGCCAGCCGCCCCGUCCGGGAGGGAGGUGGGGGGAACAGUCCCCCGCCCGGCCAGCCGCCCUAUCCAGGAGGUGAGGGGCGCCUCUGCCCGGCCGCCCCUACUGGGAAGUGAGGAGCCCCUCUGCCUGGCCAGCCGCCCCGUCCGGGAGGGCGGUGGGGGGGUCAGCCCCCCUCCCGGCCAGCCGCCCCAUCUGGGAGGUGAGGGGCACUUCUGCCGGGCCGCCCCUACUGGGAAGUGAGGAGCCCCUCUGCCCGGCCACGACCCCGUCUGGGAGGUGUGCCCAGCGGCUCAUUGGGGAUGGGCCAUGAUGACAAUGGCGGUUUUGUGGAAUAGAAGGGCGGGAAGGGUGGGGAAAAAAUUGAGAAAUCGGAUGGUUGCGGGGUCUGUGUGGAUAGAAGUAGACAUGGGAGACUUUUCAUUUUGUUCUGUACUAAGAAAAAUUCUUCUGCCUUGGGAUCCUGUUGAUCUGUGACCUUAUCCCCAACCCUGUGCUCUCUGAAACAUGUGCUGUGUCCACUCAGGGUUAGAUGGAUUGAGGGCGGUGCAAGAUGUGCUUUGUUAAACAGAUGCUUGAAGGCAGCAUGCUCGUUAAGAGUCAUCACCACUCCCUAAUCUUAAGUACCCAGGGACACAAACACUGCGGAAGGCCGCAGGGUCCUCUGCCUAGGAAAACCAGAGACCUUUGUUCACUUGUUUAUCUGCUGACCUUCCCUCCACUAUUGUCCUAUGACCCUGCCAAAUCCCCCUCUGCGAGAAACACCCAAGAAUGAUCAAUAAAAAUAAAAAAUAA